UGCCAAAAUNCAGAGGUCGCCCUCUAUAUAGU
RNAcentral lists this non-coding RNA (32 nucleotides) under Rattus norvegicus (Norway rat). Lineage: Eukaryota; Metazoa; Chordata; Mammalia; Rodentia; Muridae. The record is from RNAcentral.